This 506-nucleotide ribosomal RNA is filed under the name uncultured bacterium. RNAcentral describes it as "partial 16S ribosomal RNA". It matches the Rfam family "Bacterial small subunit ribosomal RNA", at positions 28 to 523 of the family's 1533-position model. The record is from RNAcentral.
GAUGAACGCUAGCUACAGGCUUAACACAUGCAAGUCGAGGGGUAACGAGAGGAAAGCUUGCUUUCCUUGUUGACGACCGGCGCACGGGUGAGUAACGCGUAUCCAACCUGCCCCCAACUAGGGAAUAACCUUGCGAAAGUAAGACUAAUACCCUAUAAUUUCCUCAGAUGUCAUCUGACGAGGAAUAAAGAUUUAUUGGUUGUGGAUGGGGAUGCGUUUGAUUAGCUUGUGGGCGGGGUAACGGCCGACCAAGGCAACGAUCAGUAGGGGUACUGAGAGGAAGGUCCCCCACAUUGGAACUGAGACACGGUCCAAAUUCCUACGGGAGGCAGCAGUGAGGAAUAUUGGUCAAUGGGCGGAAGCCUGAACCAGCCAAGUAGCGUGCAGGAUGACGGCCCUAUGGGUUGUAAACUGCUUUUAUACAGGAAUAAAGUUAGCCACGUGUGGUUAUUUGUAGGUACUGUAUGAAUAAGGACCGGCUAAUUCCGUGCCAGCCGCCGCCGUAA